Molecule: ribosomal RNA, 1355 nt
Filed under: metagenome
Description: SSU rRNA
Rfam family: Eukaryotic small subunit ribosomal RNA
Source: RNAcentral
UCUGGUUGAUUCUGCCAGUAGUCAUAUGCUUGUCUCAACGAUUAAGCCAUGCAUGUCUAAGUAUAAGCACUAUACGGCGAGACUGCGAAUGGCUCAUUAUAUAAGUUGUCGUUUAUUUGAUAACUCAUCAUUACACGUAUAACUGUGGUAAUUCUAGAGCUAAUACGUGCUGAAAAUCCCAACUCACGGCGGGAUGUACUUAUUAGAUUAAAAGCCAAUGCCCUUCGGGGCUCCUUGGUGAUUCAUGAUAAUUUCUCGGAUCGCAUGGCCUUGUGCCGGCGAUGGUUCAUUCAAACUUCUUCCCUAUCAACUUUCGAUGCGAAGGUCUUGUCUUCGCAUGGUUUCAACGGGUAACGGAGGGUUAGGGCUUGACCCCGGAGAAGGAGCCUGAGAAACGGCUCCUACAUCCAAGGAAGGCAGCAGGCGCGCAAAUUGACCAAUCCCGAUUCGGGGAGUCAGGGACGAUAAAUACUGAUACAGGGCUCUUUUGGGUCUUGUAAUCGGAAUGAGUACAAUUUAAAUCUCUUAACGAGGAACAAUUGGAGGGCAAGUCUGGUGCCAGCAGCCGCGGUAAUUCCAGCUCCAAUAGCGUAUAUUAAAGUUGUUGCAGUUAAAAAGCUCGUAGUUGAACCUUGGGCCUGGCUGGUCGGUCUCCCUCACCGGAUGCACUGGUCCGGCCGGGCCUUUCCCUCUGUGGAACCUCAUGUCCUUCACUGGACGUGUUGGGGAAGCAGGACUUUUACUUUGAAAAAAUUAGAGUGCUCCAAGCAGGCCUAUGCUCGAAUACUUCAGCAUGGAAUAAUGGAAUAGGACGUGUGGUUCUAUUUCGUUGGUUUUUAGGACCGCCGUAAUGAUUAAUAGGGACAGUCGGGGGCAUCCGUAUUCAGUGGCUAGAGGUGAAAUUCUCAGAUUCUCUGAAGACGAACUACUGCGAAAGCAUUUGCCAAGGAUGUUUUCAUUGAUAAGGAACGAAAGUUGGGGGAUCGAAGACGAUCAGAUACCGUCGUAGUCUCAACUAUAAACUAUGUCGACUAGGGAUCGGACGAUGUUAUUUGAUGACUCGUUCGGCACCUUACGAGAAAUCAAAGUGCGUGGACUCUGGGGGGAGUAUGGUCGCAAGGCUGAAACUUAAAGAAAUUGACGGAAGGGCACCACCAGGGGUGGAGCCUGCGGCUUAAUUUGACCCAACACGGGGAAACUCACCAGGUCCAGACACUGUGAGGAUUGACAGAUUGAGAGCUCUUUCUUGAUUCAGUGGGUGGUGGUGCAUGGCCGUUCUUAGUUGGUGGAGUGAUUUGUCUGCCUAAUCGCGAUAACGAACGAGACCUUGACUGCUAAAUAGCCCGUACUGCCUC